RNAcentral lists this unclassified non-coding RNA (329 nucleotides) under soil metagenome. RNAcentral's name for it is "partial contains 5.8S ribosomal RNA, internal transcribed spacer 2, and large subunit ribosomal RNA". The stretch from base 1 to 120 matches the Rfam family "5.8S ribosomal RNA", at positions 35 to 154 of the family's 154-position model. The record is from RNAcentral.
GAUGAAGAACGUAGCGAAAUGCGAUAAGUAAUGUGAAUUGCAGAAUUCAGUGAAUCAUCGAAUCUUUGAACGCACAUUGCGCCCCUUGGUAUUCCGAGGGGCAUGCCUGUUCGAGCGUCAUUAUAACCCCUCAAGCUCAGCUUGGUGUUGGGGCCUGCUGCACUGGCAGCCCUUAAAAUCAGUGGCGGCGCCAUCUGGCUGUAAGCGUAGUAAUUCUUCUCGCUAUGGAGUCCUGGUGGAUGCUUGCCAUCAACCCCCAAUUUUUCUAUGGUUGACCUCGGAUCAGGUAGGGAUACCCGCUGAACUUAAGCAUAUCAAUAAGCGGAGGA